Molecule: transfer RNA, 87 nt
Filed under: Candidatus Bathyarchaeota archaeon
Lineage: Archaea; Thermoproteati; Candidatus Bathyarchaeota
Description: tRNA-Ser
Rfam family: tRNA
About the family: Transfer RNA (tRNA) molecules are approximately 80 nucleotides in length. Their secondary structure includes four short double-helical elements and three loops (D, anti-codon, and T loops).
Source: RNAcentral
GCCGGGAUGGCCGAGCGGACUAAGGCGCAGGCCUGGAGAGCCUGUGGGCCCUCUGGGCCCUCGUGGGUUCAAAUCCCACUCCCGGCG